RNAcentral lists this long non-coding RNA (252 nucleotides) under Mytilus galloprovincialis (Mediterranean mussel). Lineage: Eukaryota; Metazoa; Mollusca; Bivalvia; Mytilida; Mytilidae. The record is from RNAcentral.
AUUAAAUAUAAAAAAAGAAGAUGUGGUAUGAUUGCCAAUGAGACAACUAUCCACAAAAGACCAAAAUGACACAAACAUUAACAAUUAUAGGUCACCGUACGGCCUUCAACAAUGAGCAAAGCCCAUACCGCACAGUCAGCUAUAAAAGGCCCCGAUAAGACAAUGUAAAACAAUUCAAACUUGAAAACUAACGGCCUUAUUUAUGUAAAAAAAAUGAACGAAAAACAAAUAUGUAACACAUAAACAAACGAC